UCCCUGCAUGGAUAAUAAUCGGGUAUAAGACAGAUACCGAAGGCGCGGGAUAGCAAUAAUAAAAGUAUCGGUAGGGGAGCAUUCCAUAUGCGUCGAAUGGUGCGGGUAACCUAUCCUGGAGUAUAUGGAAAAGCAAAUGUAGGUAUAAGUAACGAUAAGGAGGGUAAGAUUCCCUCCCGCCGCAAGACUAAGGUUUCCCGGGCAAUGUCAAUCAUCCCGGGGUCAGUCGGGUCCUAAGUCUCAGCCGAACGGCGAGGGCGAUGGCAGACACGGUCAACAUUCCGUGACUACCUUUAGGAGCGAUGCGGAGACGGAGCAGUGACACUUCCGCGAGCCAACGGAAUGGCUCGUUGAAGAGUGUAGGCGUAGAUCACGGCAGGCAAAUCCGCCGUGAGAGUCGAACUUGAAAGUACAGGGUCCUCUUCGGAGGAACCUGAUAGCGAGGGUAAGCAUACUCCCGAGAAAAUCCGCUAAGCAAUCCUAAAGGUACCCGUACCGUAAACAGACACACGUAGUCGGGUAGAACAUACUAAGGCGUUGAGAGAUUCAUGGUUAAGGAACUAGGCAAACUGACCCCGUAACUUCGGGAUAAGGGGUCCUCGUGAAAGCGAGGCGCAGAGAAUAGGUCCAGGCAACUGUUUAACAAAAACACAGGGCUGUGCGAACUCGAAAGAUGAAGUAUACAGCCUGACACCUGCCCGGUGCCGGAAGGUUAAGAGGAGAUGUCAACCUUUAUGGCGUAGCAUUGAAUUGAAGCCCCGGUAAACGGCGGCCGUAACCAUAACGGUCCUAAGGUAGCGAAAUUCCUUGUCGGGUAAGUUCCGACCUGCACGAAUGGUGUAAUGAUCCGGACGCUGUCUCAACCAUGAGCUCAGUGAAAUUGUAGUAUCGGUGAAGAUGCCGAUUACCCGCGAUGGGACGAAAAGACCCCGUGAACCUUUACUACAGCUUAGCAUUGACCUUGGUCAUCCGAUGUGUAGGAUAGGCCGGAGGCUUCGAAGCGGCGUCGCCAGGCGUCGUGGAGCCAUCCUUGAAAUACGGCCCUUUGGCUGUCUGAGGUCUAACUCGCCAGUGCGAGGACACUGUUUGGUGGGUAGUUUGACUGGGGUGGUCGCCUCCAAAAGCGUAACGGAGGCUUCCAAAGGUGCCCUCGGGCCGAUUGGUAACCGGCCUUAUAGAGUGCAAUGGCAUAAGGGCGCUUGACUGGGAGGCAGACAUGCCGAGCAGGCAGGAAACUGGGGCAUAGUGAUCCGGCGGAUGUGUAUGGAAACUCCGUCGCUCAAAGGAUAAAAGGUACUCCGGGGAUAACAGGCUGAUCCCCCCCAAGAGCUCAUAUCGACGGGGUGGUUUGGCACCUCGAUGUCGGCUCGUCACAUCCUGGGGCUGGAGAAGGUCCCAAGGGUUGGGCUGUUCGCCCAUUAAAGUGGCACGCGAGCUGGGUUCAGAACGUCGUGAGACAGUUCGGUCUCUAUCUAUCGUGGGCGCAGGAGUUUUGAGUGGUGCCGUCACUAGUACGAGAGGACCGUGAUGGACAGACCUCCGGUUUGCCAGUUGUGCCGCCAGGCGCACCGCUGGGUAUCCGAGUCUGGUUAGGAUAAGCGCUGAAAGCAUCUAAGUGCGAAGCCAUCCGCAAGAUGAGAACUCCAUUGAGGGUCGUUGUAGACGACGACGUAGAUAGGCUGCAGGUGUAAAGACGGUGACGUCAAAGCCGAGCAGUACUAAUUGCCUG
Molecule: ribosomal RNA, 1729 nt
Filed under: metagenome
Description: bacterial LSU rRNA
Rfam family: Bacterial large subunit ribosomal RNA
Source: RNAcentral